This 254-nucleotide ribosomal RNA is filed under the name uncultured bacterium. Its description in RNAcentral is "partial 16S ribosomal RNA". It matches the Rfam family "Bacterial small subunit ribosomal RNA", at positions 524 to 776 of the family's 1533-position model. The record is from RNAcentral.
UACGUAGGGGGCAAGCGUUGUCCGGAUUUAUUGGGCGUAAAGAGCUCGUAGGCGGUUCGGUAAGUCGGGUGUGAAACCUCCAGGCUCAACCUGGAGAGGUCACCUGAUACUGCUGUGACUCGAGUCCGGUAGGGGAGCGUGGAAUUCCUGGUGUAGCGGUGAAAUGCGCAGAUAUCAGGAGGAACACCAGCGGCGAAGGCGGCGCUCUGGGCCGGAACUGACGCUGAGGAGCGAAAGCGUGGGUAGCAAACAGG